This is an RNA transcript of Physeter macrocephalus (sperm whale), 475 nucleotides long. It is a transcript of the gene named 60S ribosomal protein L21-like, with no coding region annotated. The record is from RefSeq and is a predicted model, not a curated record. Lineage: Eukaryota; Metazoa; Chordata; Mammalia; Artiodactyla; Physeteridae. The transcript has a single exon.
AUGACCAACACAAAGGGAAAGAGGAGGCCACCCACUAUAUGUUCUCUAGGCCUUUUAAAAAACAUGGAGUUGUUCCUUCCAUGCGAAUCUACAAGAAAGGUGGUAUUGUAGGUAUCAAGCGAAUGGGCUCUGUUCAAAAAGGAAUGCCCCACAAAUGUUACCAUGGCAAAAUUGCAAGUCUACAGCAUUACCCAGCAUGCUGUUGGCAUCGCUGUAAACAAACAAGUUAAGGGCAAGGUUAUUGCCAAGAGAAUUAAUGUGCAUAUUGAGCAUAUUAAGCACUCUGAGAGCAGAGAUAGUUUCCUGAAAUGUGUGAAGGAAAAUGAUCAGAAUAAGAAGGAAGCCAACGAGAAAGGUACUUGGGUUCAGCUGAAGCACCAGCCUGCUCCACCCAGAGAAGCACACUUCGUGAGAACCAAUGGAAGGGAGCCUGAACUGUUGGAACCCAUUCCCUAUGAAUUCAUGGCAUGAUAGC